CAGCCGCCACGGUAAUACGUAGGGUGCAAGCGUUAAUCGGAAUUAUUGGGCGUAAAGGGCUCGCAGGCGGUUUCUUAAGUCUGAUGUGAAAGCCCCCGGCUCAACCGGAGAGGGUCAUUGGAAACUGGGAAACUUGAGUGCAGAAGAGGAGAGUGGAAUUCCACGUGUAGCGGUGAAAUGCGUAGAGAUGUGGCGGAACACCAGUGGCAAAGGCGACUCUCUGGUCUGUAACUGACGCUGAGGCGCGAAAGCGUGGGGAGCAAACAGGAUUAGAUACCCCAGUAGUCCCUGUCUCUUAUAC
RNAcentral lists this ribosomal RNA (301 nucleotides) under uncultured bacterium. Its description in RNAcentral is "partial 16S ribosomal RNA". It matches the Rfam family "Bacterial small subunit ribosomal RNA", at positions 509 to 807 of the family's 1533-position model. The record is from RNAcentral.